This 1209-nucleotide long non-coding RNA is filed under the name Homo sapiens (human). Its description in RNAcentral is "HSALNT0224617". Lineage: Eukaryota; Metazoa; Chordata; Mammalia; Primates; Hominidae. The record is from RNAcentral.
UGAGAGCACCGCGGCUACCUGGCUUCCCUGAGUCCCGGCUGCCGGGAACGGGCGCGGGGGUGAAUAGUAAGUGGCAGCACUGUGGAAUGGGGAACAGAUGGAAGAAUGAGCAGCUGGGAGGCACACUCUUGCAAAAACCCAGGCAAGAGACAAUAAAGACCUCUGUCGUAGGGAUGGUGAGGAGAAGAUGAACUAGAGACAUUUAGAAAUAAGAACCAAUAGCACAAGGGAACCAGCUGAAGGUGGGGCAUAGAAAGAAAAAAUCUGAGGUCAAGAAUACAAUUUUUUGCUCAUUUGAACAAAGUUUGGGAAUACAGGAAGAAGAGCAGAUUAAAGGAUUCAAGUAGGGACAGGAGCUUCCACUCAUGAGUUUAUUUUGUACAUGCUGAGUUUGAAGUGCCUGUGGAAUGACCAGGUAGGAAAUACUUGUGUGGCGCUAAGGAGUGAGAUGAAGGCUUGAGAUCUGGAAGUGGAUGACAACAAAGGACAGAGAGAGGGGAGAUGUCAGCAAAUGGGAUGAGCAGAGAGGAGUAAUCAAAGAACAACCUAAGAGACUGUGGGAGGACAAAGAAAGGGUAUUAUGGAAGCUGAAUAAGACAAUUUCAAGGAAAGCAUAGUCAUCAGUGAGAUCAAGUUGGAAGAGGCCUGAAAAGAGGCCACUAAUAUAGGUGGUUGUAAUUCCUUCUUUUUUUUUUUUUUUUUGAGACAAGGUCACAGCUUACUGCAGCCUCGACCUCCUGGGCUCAAAGGAUCCUCCCACCUCAGCCUCCCCAGUAGCUAGGAAUACAGGUGUGUGCCACCACCCUCGGCUAAUUUUUUUAUUUUUUGUAGAGACGGGGUCUUCCCAUGUUAUCCAGGCUGGUCUCAAACUCCGGGGUUCAAGCGUUCCUCUUGCCUCGGCCUCCAAAAGUGCAGUGAUUACAGGCAUGAGCCACAGCACCUGGCCUAUAUUUCAUCAUUUUUAAAAGGUAAAGAGAGAGAGAAAGGCUACUAGCAUCAGUAAUGAGGAGGGUGCUGGCACAUUUAUAGGAGCACUGUUUGCUGAUGCCUGAAAUGGCUCUAAUGGCACACAAUCUUUCAUUCUGCAAUAAGAAACAAACGCUUAAAAUUGAAGUGCCUCCUUAAAUUAAAACAACAAAGUCAUUUUCUCAAAAAUGUAAUGAAUCACAACAUUUUAGAACUGGAAACGUGCUUGCUGGUCACCUCAGC